ACGGGCUCCUGGGGCCCCUCGGUGGCACCGAAAGGCGAGGCUGGAGCUGGUGCUGGCCCGGGGAGAGGAAACGGCAAUAAACCCAGAGCGGGCGGCUUCCUGGAGCCAGGACGCCGGGGUCGGCUUAAUUGCUCCGAAAUGAAAAAGAUUCGGGGGUUUUCAAGAAGUCCCAGAGGUGCACUUGCCAAGCCUCAACUAUUAGGUUGAAUUACAGCUUCCAAUCCCGCCCGCGCCCCAGCCUGCCUCUCUUUCUCCCGAGCAGGGAUCUGUCCUCUCCUUGGGAGAUUAGGGUCCGGCUCACAUCUCCACUGCGGAACGUCUGCUCCACUUACCAGCUGGACUUCCACGUGUGGCACGGAGGACACAGCAGCCCAGGGCCAGGAGUGACCAGAACGAAGCUCAGCUUGCAGCUCCAAGCAUCAAGUCCACAUUCUCUCACUGCUACCCCCCACCCCCCCACAGAAGGCAGAGGGAAGAACAGCAGCAGAACCUCCAUAACAACAGAUGCUCCUCGCUGCCCACACCGCAUUCAGCCCUGCAGUGCCUGGCCAGGCUGGUGGCAGUGCUGCCCUCCUGAAAGCCUGUUUAGUGGGGUGGGAGCGUGCCUCGCGCCUGCGUGGCUCUCACCAAAGCGGACAUGUGCUUACCUCACUUGAACAAAAAGUCUGGUUUGCAGAACACCUUUCUAAGUGAGAGGAGUCAUUGUGAGAAGUCAUUGAUUUGAGCAUUGCUUUGUCCUGGUUUGGUUGUCGUGGCUGUCAAAUCAAUAAAAGUGCAAAACUUGAGGACAGCCCUUUUGAAAGCUUGGAAAAUGCACAGUCUUCCAGAAACCCCACUUCCCUUUACGUGAGGUGACAAGUGGUCCUGGAACCGUGGUUGGCAGAGGGAGUGUCAGUCUGAUCAUUCUCAUCAGUCAUGUAAAGCAAAGUGGAAAUAAAUGACAUCAAUCUCAAGUAGAUUCGUUCCCUGAUCUCUCUGGGGAUGUGAAUGAUUUCAGUGGAAUUUGGAGACUCUCCGACCCAGCAAAGCCAGGAACAUACACGCCAUGGCGAAGGUGGAGAAGCCUCACGUGUUGUGGGGUUUUGGGGGGGCUCUUUCUAGACAACAUCGAAACACGAGGAGAGUUCACUUCAACAUUUGGAUUAGCUUCCUGGUAGUGGCAGCUGCUCCGCUGACAAUGCAGGAUGAAGACUCGGAGAAGGCAGGACAUUUUUCUUUUCAACGGUUAAAGUUUGGUGACCAAUUGCUGCAUUUUACUUUUUACAAUUUAGCUUCAUUUUCUGAUUCUCUUUGGUUUGUGAUGUCAUUUUCCUUGGACUUGUUAACAGUAAAUGCACAAUAUUUUUUCCUUUUUUGGAGACUAAAAUGGAAAACCCUUAGUUUCUAGACAGGAAGAAACGGGCCAUCAACAAAAGGCUGAGGUGCCCUUUGACCCUGACAGGACGGGUGCCUGUGGACAGAGUACCAGGCUGGGGAGGGGGCUGUUCCUGUCUUGGUGCCCCCCCCACCUCCCCCAGCUUCUCCCAAAUGACGCAAGCUUCGGAGGACACCCUGCAGCCAGGUGCCUAGGUCCUGGGCAGCCCUGGGAAGACCGUCAGCAUCUGGACGUUUUCUGAUGUCACACACUUGGGAUCAGCAGAACGUGUCCUUUAAAGCAGAUAAUUUCUGGCUGCUUUCCUGUUUUUCAUAUGAAAUCAUUUAUUUUAUUUUUACUUUUUAUUUUAUUUUUUGUCUUUUUGCCACUUCUUGGGCUGCUCCUGCAGCAUAUGGAGGUUCCUAGGCUAGGGGUCCAAUCGGAGCUGUAGCCGCUGGCCUACGCCAGAGCCACAGCAACGCAGGAUCCGAGCCUUGUCUGUGACCUACACCACAGCUCACGGCAACGCCAGAUCGUUAACCCACUGAGCAAGGGCAGGGAUCAAACCCGCAACCUCAUGGUUCCUAGUCGGAUUCGUUAACCACUGCGCCAUGGCGGGAACUCCGAAAUCAUUUUUAUAUUAAAAACGUCUCAAUAAAACGUGGCUAGGGUAUGAACAGCAACAAAACCAUAUUUACUGUAAGAACUUAAUGCUCUGAUGGCAUUUUCUUCUCACCUCUCUCCAGUUCCCUCUUUCUCUCAUAAAAAGACAUCCACGAUGACGACCUGGGUAGUUUC
This 2152-nucleotide long non-coding RNA is filed under the name Sus scrofa (pig). RNAcentral's name for it is "lncRNA (ENSSSCG00000052628.1)". Lineage: Eukaryota; Metazoa; Chordata; Mammalia; Artiodactyla; Suidae. The record is from RNAcentral.